UGAGAAAUAAUUUAUAUAAAAUAUUAAUUUUGUAAAUUAAAAAUGUACUUAAAAUACUUUCCCAA
RNAcentral lists this transfer RNA (65 nucleotides) under Encyrtus infelix. RNAcentral's name for it is "tRNA-Thr". Lineage: Eukaryota; Metazoa; Arthropoda; Insecta; Hymenoptera; Encyrtidae. The record is from RNAcentral.